AACAGCAAACAGAGCGAGAGAGAAAGAGAACAGGGUGUCCUCAGUGAAGACGGAUGCUGCAGUUCUCGGAGCGUUAUGAAGAUGCCUGUUUCUAGGGAGAGGAGAUGAUGAUAGCCGCAUCACAGAAACCGCAGCACACCCUCCUCACAGACACUUCUGUGAUGCUAAAGCAGAGGAUGUUGGGAGAGCUGCCCACAGAUAUGCGGCGGGAGACUGAGAGGGAUUUGUGGGAUACAGAUGACAGAUUAAUCCUCUCGAGUAAAAUGGAGAAACGGGGAGAGUUAUGAAACAUCACAAAUAUCUCAGCACUUGCUAUAUGUAUGUGUUGGCAUUACCCGACGUUUACGGCACACCAGGCCAGCAGUACUGAUGAGCUGGAUGGCAUAACGGAGUGAAGUCUCCUGUCCGAUACGGGUUAAAACUGUGUGUGCCUCCUCACUGAGCUCGACAUCUUCC
This is a long non-coding RNA of Labeo rohita (rohu), 456 nucleotides long. RefSeq lists it as uncharacterized. The transcript is spliced from 3 exons. NCBI's taxonomy places the organism in Eukaryota, Metazoa, Chordata, Actinopteri, Cypriniformes, Cyprinidae. The record is from RefSeq and is a predicted model, not a curated record.